ACUUGGGGAUUAGUGGCGAACGGGUGAGUAACACGUGAGCAACCUGCCCCUGACUCUGGGAUAAGCGCUGGAAACGGCGUCUAAUACUGGAUAUGUCCCGUCACCGCAUGGUGUGCGGGUGGAAAGAUUUUUCGGUUGGGGAUGGGCUCGCGGCCUAUCAGCUUGUUGGUGAGGUAAUGGCUCACCAAGGCGUCGACGGGUAGCCGGCCUGAGAGGGUGACCGGCCACACUGGGACUGAGACACGGCCCAGACUCCUACGGGAGGCAGCAGUGGGGAAUAUUGCACAAUGGGCGGAAGCCUGAUGCAGCAACGCCGCGUGAGGGAUGACGGCCUUCGGGUUGUAAACCUCUUUUAGCAGGGAAGAAGCGAGAGUGACGGUACCUGCAGAAAAAGCACCGGCUAACUACGUGCCAGCAGCCGCGGUAAUACGUAGGGUGCAAGCGUUAUCCGGAAUUAUUGGGCGUAAAGAGCUCGUAGGCGGUCUGUCGCGUCUGCUGUGAAAUUCCGAGGCUCAACCUCGGGCUUGCAGUGGGUACGGGCAGACUAGAGUGCGGUAGGGGAGAUUGGAAUUCCUGGUGUAGCGGUGGAAUGCGCAGAUAU
This 601-nucleotide ribosomal RNA is filed under the name Microbacterium esteraromaticum. RNAcentral describes it as "bacterial SSU rRNA". It matches the Rfam family "Bacterial small subunit ribosomal RNA", at positions 83 to 697 of the family's 1533-position model. The record is from RNAcentral. Lineage: Bacteria; Bacillati; Actinomycetota; Actinomycetes; Micrococcales; Microbacteriaceae.